AACGAACGCUGGCGGCAUGCCUAACACAUGCAAGUCGAACGAGACCUUCGGGUCUAGUGGCGCACGGGUGCGUAACGCGUGGGAACCUGCCCUUAGGUUCGGAAUAACUCCCCGAAAGGGGUGCUAAUACCGGAUAAUGUCUUCGGACCAAAGAUUUAUCGCCUUUGGAUGGGCCCGCGUUGGAUUAGCUAGUUGGUAGGGUAAAAGCCUACCAAGGCGACGAUCCAUAGCUGGUCUGAGAGGAUGAUCAGCCACACUGGGACUGAGGCACGGCCCAGACUCCUACGGGAGGCAGCAGUGGGGAAUAUUGGACAAUGGGCGAAAGCCUGGUCCAGCAAUGCCGCGUGAGUGAUGAAGGCCUUAGGGUUGUAAAGCUCUUUUACCCGGGAUGAUAAUGACAGUACCGGGAGAAUAAGCUCCGGCUAACUCCGUG
RNAcentral lists this ribosomal RNA (433 nucleotides) under uncultured bacterium. Its description in RNAcentral is "partial 16S ribosomal RNA". It matches the Rfam family "Bacterial small subunit ribosomal RNA", at positions 29 to 507 of the family's 1533-position model. The record is from RNAcentral.